GCGUCAGAUUUGGAUAAGAGACAGGUGAGUCAUCGAAUCUUUGAACGCACAUUGCGCCCCCUGGCAUUCCGGGGGGCAUGCCUGUUCGAGCGUCAUUUAUACCAAUCUAGCCUGGCUAGGUGUUGGGCUCCGCCGUCUGGCGGGCCUUAAAACUAGUGGCGGUGCCCUUCGGCUCUACGCGUAGUAAUUUUCUCGCUAUAGGGUCCGGAGGGAUGCUGGCCAGCAACCCCAAAUUUUUCUAGGUUGACCUCGGAUCAGGUAGGGAUACCCGCUGAACUUAAGCAUAUCAAUAAGCGGAGG
This 300-nucleotide unclassified non-coding RNA is filed under the name uncultured Lachnum. Its description in RNAcentral is "sequence contains 5.8S rRNA gene, ITS2". The stretch from base 245 to 300 matches the Rfam family "Eukaryotic large subunit ribosomal RNA", at positions 1 to 56 of the family's 3401-position model. Lineage: Eukaryota; Fungi; Ascomycota; Leotiomycetes; Helotiales; Hyaloscyphaceae. The record is from RNAcentral.